CCUACGGGGGGCUGCAGUGGGGAAUAUUGGACAAUGGGCGAAAGCCUGAUCCAGCCAUGCCGCGUGUGUGAAGAAGGUCUUCGGAUUGUAAAGCACUUUAAGUUGGGAGGAAGGGUAUUAACCUAAUACGUUAGUACUUUGACGUUACCGACAGAAUAAGCACCGGCUAACUCUGUGCCAGCAGCCGCGGUAAUACAGAGGGUGCAAGCGUUAAUCGGAAUUACUGGGCGUAAGGCGCGCGUAGGUGGUUUGUUAAGUUGAAUGUGAAAUCCCCGGGCUAAACCUGGGAACUGCAUCCAAAACGUGCAAGCUAGAGUAUGGUAGAGGGUAGUGGAAUUUCCUGUGUAGCGGUGAAAUGCGUAGAUAUAGGAAGGAACACCAGUGGCGAAGGCGACGACCUGGACUGAUACUGACACUGAGGUGCGAAAGCGUGGGGAGCAAACAGGAUUAGAUACCCGAGUAGUC
Molecule: ribosomal RNA, 465 nt
Filed under: uncultured Pseudomonas sp.
Lineage: Bacteria; Pseudomonadati; Pseudomonadota; Gammaproteobacteria; Pseudomonadales; Pseudomonadaceae
Description: bacterial SSU rRNA
Rfam family: Bacterial small subunit ribosomal RNA
Source: RNAcentral